This 215-nucleotide ribosomal RNA is filed under the name uncultured bacterium. Its description in RNAcentral is "partial 16S ribosomal RNA". It matches the Rfam family "Bacterial small subunit ribosomal RNA", at positions 117 to 331 of the family's 1533-position model. The record is from RNAcentral.
GUAAGCAACGUGCCCCAAAGACCGGGAUAGUCCAUGGAGACGUGGCGUAAUACCGGAUGUGGCCGUCUGAAGGCAUCUUCGGACGAUCAAAUGGUUUUUCGCUUUGGGAGCGGCUUACGGCCUAUCAGGUAGUUGGUGGGGUAACGGCCUACCAAGCCGACGACGGGUAGCGGGUCUGAGAGGAUGAUCCGCUCGAGUGGGACUGAGACACGGCC